GAUGAACGCUGGCGGCGUGCCUAAUACAUGCAAGUCGAACGAAACUUCUCUAUCACCGAGUGCUUGCACUCACCGAUAAAGAGUUGAGUGGCGAACGGGUGAGUAACACGUGGGCAACCUGCCCAAAAGAGGGGGAUAACACUUGGAAACAGGUGCUAAUACCGCAUAACCAUAGUUACCGCAUGGUAACUAUGUAAAAGGUGGCUAUACUACCGCUUUUGGAUGGGCCCGCGGCGCAUUAGCUAGUUGGUAGGGUAAAGGCUUACCAAGGCAAUGAUGCGUAGCCGAAUUGAGAGGUUGAUCGGCCACAUUGGGACUGAGACACGGCCCAAACUCCUACGGGAGGCAGCAGUAGGGAAUCUUCCACAAUGGGCGAAAGCCUGAUGGAGCAACGCCGCGUGGGUGAAGAAGGUCUUCGGAUCGUAAAACCCUGUUGUUAGAGAAGAAAGUGCGUGAGAGUAACUGUUCACGUUUCGACGGUAUCUAACCAGAAAGCCACGGCUAACUACGUG
This 512-nucleotide ribosomal RNA is filed under the name uncultured bacterium. Its description in RNAcentral is "partial 16S ribosomal RNA". It matches the Rfam family "Bacterial small subunit ribosomal RNA", at positions 28 to 507 of the family's 1533-position model. The record is from RNAcentral.